AUUCGCCCUUAGAGUUUGAUGGUGGCUCAGGACGAACGCUAGCGGGGGGCUUAACACAUGCAAGUCGAGCGAGAAAGCCGUCUUCGGAUGGUGAGUAGAGCGGCGAACGGGUGAGUAACGCGUAGGCAAUCUGCCCAUAGGUGGGGAAUAACACAGCGAAAGUUGUGCUAAUACCGCAUGAUAUUCAAAUUCUGCCUGGAAUUUGAAUCAAAGGCUUCGGCCGCCAAUGGAUGAGCCUGCGUCCCAUUAGCUUGUUGGUAAGGUAACGGCUUACCAAGGCGACGAUGGGUAGCUGGUCUGAGAGGAUGAUCAGCCACACUGGGACUGAGAUACGGCCCAGACUCCUACGGGAGGCAGCAGUGAGGAAUAUUGCACAAUGGACGAAAGUCUGAUGCAGCCACCCCGCGUGCAGGAUGAAGCCCUUGCGGGUGUAAACUGCUUUUAGUAGGGACGAGUGCUACUGUUUUGCAGUAGUUCGACGGUACCUGCAGAAGAAGCUCCGGCUAACUCCGUGCCAGCAGCCGCGGUAAUACGGAGGGGGCAAGCGUUGUCCGGAAUCACUGGGCGUAAAGAGCGUGUAGGCGGGAUAGUAAGUCUGAAGUUAAAUGCUGGGGCUCAACCCCAUGUCUGCUUUGGAAACUACUAUUCUUGAGUGUGAUAGAGGGAAAUGGAAUUCCUGGUGUAGCGGUGGAAUGCGUAGAUAUCAGGAAGAACACCGGUUGCGAAGGCGAUUUCCUGGCUCAUUACUGACGCUGAGACGCGAAAGCGUGGGGUAGCAAACAGGAUUAGAUACCCUGGUAGUCCACGCCCUAAACGAUGAAUACUA
RNAcentral lists this ribosomal RNA (826 nucleotides) under uncultured bacterium. RNAcentral describes it as "bacterial SSU rRNA". It matches the Rfam family "Bacterial small subunit ribosomal RNA", at positions 1 to 818 of the family's 1533-position model. The record is from RNAcentral.